RNAcentral lists this ribosomal RNA (305 nucleotides) under uncultured bacterium. Its description in RNAcentral is "bacterial SSU rRNA". It matches the Rfam family "Bacterial small subunit ribosomal RNA", at positions 337 to 635 of the family's 1533-position model. The record is from RNAcentral.
UCCUACGGGGGGCAGCAGUAGGGAAUUUUCGUCAAUGGGCGCAAGCCUGAACGAGCAAUGCCGCGUGAACGAGGAAGGUCUUCGGAUCGUAAAGUUCUGUUGAAGGGGAAAAAGAGCGGAGAGAGGAAAUGGUCUCCGAUUGAUAUUACCCUUCGAGGAAGUCACGGCUAACUACGUGCCAGCAGCCGCGGUAAUACGGAGGAUGCGAGCGUUAUCCGGAUUUAUUGGGUUUAAAGGGUGCGUAGGCGGACUGGAAAGUCAGCGGUAAAAUCGAGAGGCUCAACCUCUUUCCGCCGUUGAAACUG